CAAACUUCAAAUAUCAGUGUUUAUUUACACACAUCAAAACAAACACAAGUGAAGAGAGAAGAAGAAAAAAAAUCAGUCUACAUUGUCUCUCUGGGUCCGGCCACAAAAUGUCAUCUACAUCACAUGCAAUGUCCUCUAGUCCAAGGUACCAGGGGAAAAUAUCUUCUGAAAUGCCGUAUCCAGCCCUGACAUGAUGCCUUGUCAAUAUCCCCACAUGUGUCCUCCAUUGCCUAUAAAAGGGCUAUGCGUUGAUGGGGAUGAUGGUCAUAGACCUUCCAGCGCCAGGCAGAGAAGAACUCUUCUAUUGGAUUCAAGAAUGGAGAGUAUGCAGGGAGGUUGAGUACAGUGAAGAGUGGGUGAUCUGUAAACCAGUUGCGGACCAAAGCAGCCCUAUGGAAACUAACAUUGUCCCAUAUGAUGACGUAUCUGGUCUGCUCUGGUCUCUGAACAUUAGUGAGCAUGUCAUGUAAGGUGUCCAGGAAUGUAAUGAUGUAUGAAGUGUUAUAUGGGCCUAGGGUUGCAUGAUGGUGAACAACACCAUUUUGACUUAUAGCUGCAGACAUAGUUAUGUUACCACCACGUUGUCCUGGGACAUUGAUUAUGGCACAGUGUCCAAUAAUGUUCCUGCCACGUCUCCUGGUUUUACUGAGGUUAAAACCUGCCUCAUCCACAAAAAGCAGCUCAUGACCCAUGGCAUCUGCCUCUAGCUCCAUCACUCUCUGGACAAGACAAAACAAAUGCAGCACAGCAGGCCCAUGCACAGCACUACAGUAUGCACUUCCAGAUUCAGUACCAAAGAUACUAUAGCUUACAUGCUCAUAGUCACAUCACAGUUGUUUCACACAUUCACUGUUUCUUUCAAAAGCGACUCUGAAGAUUUGUUUCAAUCGGAUUCUGUUGUGGGCAAGUACACAACAUAAUACAGAAAUGCUCACAUUGUGUUUGUUUUGGAAGGUGUUCUAAUCCUCAAUUAUGCGCUGUUGUAUUUCUCGUAGCCUUAUGGAAUUAUUUGCAAUCACCAUAUUGACUAUAUAUUUCUUCCUCUUCUUACCCUUCCUCUUCCCCCUCCUCCUCCUCCUCUUGCGCCUCCUUGUCCUCUUCCUCUAACUUCACCCUCCUUUUCCUUGUCAUCCUCUCCCUCUCGCUUAUUCACCUCCGCGUCCUCUGCCUCCUCCUCUUCCUCCUACUUGUUCACCUCCACGUCCUCUUCCUCUGCCUCCUCUAAUUCUCACUCUUCUCACUCUUCCUGCUCCCUCCAUUGUACUCCACACGGACUGCUCACCUGUGGCUUCUUUAUAGUGCUUAG
This is a long non-coding RNA of Esox lucius (northern pike), 1306 nucleotides long. NCBI's taxonomy places the organism in Eukaryota, Metazoa, Chordata, Actinopteri, Esociformes, Esocidae. The record is from Ensembl.